RNAcentral lists this small RNA (271 nucleotides) under Arabidopsis thaliana (thale cress). RNAcentral describes it as "ATSL272630". Lineage: Eukaryota; Viridiplantae; Streptophyta; Magnoliopsida; Brassicales; Brassicaceae. The record is from RNAcentral.
GCCCACAUAACUUUGUACUCGAGCUCGACAGGUAGGUGACAUGAUUUUCCAUAGAGGAAAUUAAAAGGACUUGUACCAAUGGGUGUCUUGAAAGCUGUCCUGUAAGCCCACAGUGCGUCAUCAAGCUUUGCAGACCAGUCUUUCCUUGUAAUCUCAACAGUCUUUUCCAGAAUUGUUUUUAUCUCCCUGUUAGAGAUCUCAACCUGCCCGCUUGUCUGUGGAUGAUAAGGGGUGGCGACUUUGUGCUUUACUCCAUGCUUCUUCAGGAGGU